GUCGGGAAUAUUGCGCAAUGGAGGAAACUCUGACGCAGUGACGCCGCGUAUAGGAAGAAGGUUUUAGGAUUGUAAACUAUUUUAGACAGGGAAGAAAAAUGACAGUACCUGUAGAAUAAGCUCCGGCUAACUACGUGCCAGCAGCCGCGGUAAUACGUAGGGAGCAAGCGUUAUCCGGAAUUAUUGGGUGUAAAGGGUGCGUAGACGGGAAUACAAGUUGGUUGUGAAAUCCCUCGGCUUAACUGAGGAACUGCAACCAAAACUAUAUUUCUUGAGUGCAGGAGAGGAAAGCGGAAUUCCUAGUGUAGCGGUGAAAUGCGUAGAUAUUAGGAGGAACACCAGUGGCGAAGGCGGCUUUCUGGACUGUAACUGACGUUGAGGCACGAAAGUGUGGGGAGCAAACAGG
Molecule: ribosomal RNA, 406 nt
Filed under: uncultured bacterium
Lineage: Bacteria
Description: bacterial SSU rRNA
Rfam family: Bacterial small subunit ribosomal RNA
Source: RNAcentral